AACAUUAUUGAAGAGAUCAGAAUAGAGCUUCCUCAGGUAAGGCCUCUCACUUCCAGGUCUGCUUUGGAUUAUGGUAUAGAAAUCAUGUUUCAAGUUAGAAGAGCUCCAUCGCAGUGCCUUCUGAACUUCACGCCAAGAUUCAGACUCCAACAAAGCUUUAAUAUCUAGCAAAGAUUGUGCAUGACCUCUAAUCUCACUCUCUGCCUCUUCAAUUGUUUGU
RNAcentral lists this unclassified non-coding RNA (220 nucleotides) under Hevea brasiliensis (rubber tree). The record is from RNAcentral. Lineage: Eukaryota; Viridiplantae; Streptophyta; Magnoliopsida; Malpighiales; Euphorbiaceae.